AUUGAACGCUGGCGGCAUGCUUUACACAUGCAAGUCGAACGGCAGCACGGGCUUCGGCCUGGUGGCGAGUGGCGAACGGGUGAGUAAUGCAUCGGAACGUGCCCAUGUCGUGGGGGAUAACGUAGCGAAAGCUACGCUAAUACCGCAUACGCCCUGAGGGGGAAAGCGGGGGAUUCUUCGGAACCUCGCGCGAUUGGAGCGGCCGAUGUCGGAUUAGCUAGUAGGUGAGGUAAAGGCUCACCUAGGCGACGAUCCGUAGCGGGUCUGAGAGGAUGAUCCGCCACACUGGGACUGAGACACGGCCCAGACUCCUACGGGAGGCAGCAGUGGGGAAUUUUGGACAAUGGGGCAACCCUGAUCCAGCCAUGCCGCGUGAGUGAAGAAGGCCUUCGGGUUGUAAAGCUCUUUCGGCCGGGAAGAAAUCGGCGACUCUAACAUAGUCGCUGGAUGACGGUACCGGACUAAGAAGCACCGGCUAACUACGUGCCAGCAGCCGCGGUAAUACGUAGGGUGCGAGCGUUAAUCGGAAUUACUGGGCGUAAAGCGUGCGCAGGCGGUUUUGUAAGACAGAUGUGAAAUCCCCGGGCUUAACCUGGGAACUGCGUUUGUGACUGCAAGGCUAGAGUACGGCAGAGGGGGGUGGAAUUCCACGUGUAGCAGUGAAAUGCGUAGAGAUGUGGAGGAACACCGAUGGCGAAGGCAGCCCCCUGGGCCUGUACUGACGCUCAUGCACGAAAGCGUGGGGAGCAAACAGG
This 755-nucleotide ribosomal RNA is filed under the name uncultured Thauera sp. RNAcentral's name for it is "bacterial SSU rRNA". It matches the Rfam family "Bacterial small subunit ribosomal RNA", at positions 28 to 776 of the family's 1533-position model. Lineage: Bacteria; Pseudomonadati; Pseudomonadota; Betaproteobacteria; Rhodocyclales; Zoogloeaceae. The record is from RNAcentral.